GACGAACGCUGGCGGCGUGCUUAACACAUGCAAGUCGAACGGACAGGCCCUGCUUUUGUGGGGUGCUCGAGUGGCGAACGGGUGAGUGACACGUGAGUAACCUGCCCUUGACUUUGGGAUAACUUCAGGAAACUGGGGCUAAUACCGGAUAGGAGCUCCUGCUGCAUGGUGGUGGUUGGAAAGUUUCGGCGGUUGGGGAUGGUUUCGCGGCUUAUGAGCUUGUUGGUGGGGUAGUGGCUUACCAAGGCUUUGACGGGUAGCCGGCCUGAGAGGGUGACCGGGGACAAGAGUACUGAGAGACGGAGCAGAAUGCAACGGGAGGCAGUAGUGGGGAACAUGGCACAAUGGGCGGGAGCCUGAGGUAGAGGCCCCGCGUGCGGGAAGACCUCCUUUGGGUGAUAAACAGCUUUCGAAUGUGACGAAGCGGGAGUGACGGUAAUGGGUAAAGAAGCACCGGCUAACUACGUG
This 468-nucleotide ribosomal RNA is filed under the name uncultured bacterium. RNAcentral describes it as "partial 16S ribosomal RNA". It matches the Rfam family "Bacterial small subunit ribosomal RNA", at positions 28 to 507 of the family's 1533-position model. The record is from RNAcentral.